Non-coding RNA from Stegodyphus mimosarum, 72 nucleotides. The record is from Rfam. NCBI's taxonomy places the organism in Eukaryota, Metazoa, Arthropoda, Arachnida, Araneae, Eresidae.
GUCUUCGUGGUGUACUGGUCAGCAUGCUCGGCCAUUAUUCGAGAGGUCCAGGUUCGAAUCCCGGAGAGGGCA